GGCCUGGACGAAAGCUUAUGUUUUUCUCCCUUUGGACGUAAUCUUCUCUUAAGAUCCCGACUAGGAACCAAGCCGCGAAGUAAGGAAUGAAGUCGUACGUUCCUCGAUGUAUUCCUAGCCCCGUGCUCCCUAUAAGAAGAAUCACCCGCCAACACGGUCCCGGAGAUGGCAGACCUCGUAGGACCGCAGCGAGCGCAAAAGUCACCUCAAGCCCAGAGAGGCAGUGUCACCGUACGAGCAGAACCAGUGGGCCGGUGUGGAUAACAGGCAGUAUAAAACGCAGCAGUACUCGAAGGAUCAAACAGAUCAUUAUUUCUACAUCGUUACACACUACGAACAGUCGUCCCCUUCUCAGUAGUUGAAGGAAAAAGCCUCAGGUCAGCACUCCACUUUGUAGGAAAUCUUGAACACAAAAGUCUACAUACCCCAGGACGAGUCUGAAGACAGUCACCAGUAUUAAUGAUAUAGUCAAAGCAACUACGAAUAUCAGCGAAAUGGACCGAAAUGGAAUAAUUUGCGUUUAGACUACACAAACUAUAAAAACAAGUCAAAGUUUUUGUACAACUUGCAGAAGAGUUCGUGUUUUAACAAGUACAGGUC
This 600-nucleotide ribosomal RNA is filed under the name Triticum aestivum (bread wheat). Its description in RNAcentral is "partial small subunit ribosomal RNA". The record is from RNAcentral. Lineage: Eukaryota; Viridiplantae; Streptophyta; Magnoliopsida; Poales; Poaceae.